RNAcentral lists this long non-coding RNA (629 nucleotides) under Salmo salar (Atlantic salmon). RNAcentral describes it as "lncRNA (ENSSSAG00000085186.1)". Lineage: Eukaryota; Metazoa; Chordata; Actinopteri; Salmoniformes; Salmonidae. The record is from RNAcentral.
UGGUUCAUUUGUAUGUAUUUGGACUACGCCUGCGGUUUGUCUUCCUGUCCAGGGGGUGGAGCUGGAGAGCACCAGGCUGGUGAUCAGAGGGUGGAGCUGGAGAGCACUAGGCUGGUGAUCAGGUACCUAGACCGCUGGCUGUAGAGAACACCUCCCUCUCUUCAGAGGACCAACCCUAUAGGCCUCAUCACCUCCUCAGCCUCCCAGUACGCCUCCACAGGGACCAGGAGGAUGGCUCCCAUCAACGGUGACGAGUGUUUCUUCUGGAGGACCACCGGCUGUUUCUAUGGUGACAAAUGUCGCUUCAAACACAAGCCUGACUAGAGAGGAAGAGACAGGAAUCCAUGGCAACGCUGACCACCAUGACAACCCUGACCACCACACAGUGACUGGAUACUAGAGAGGGAGGAGAAUGAUGAAGAUUAAGGAAGAGGAUGAGGGACCGUGUCCCAACUUUAAAAGGGAACAGGAGGUUUGGGGGGAUGGUGGAUGGGGGACAGAACACUAGACAUAUAGAAUGAGUGUGUGAAGUGUAAAUCAAAGUGAAAAAGAAUGCACCUCUGAUUUCCUUCCCCCUCUCCCUCGGCAUGAUCUGUGAAACAUGUCAUCAUUGAUGUCAGAUGAUGGAG